This 5163-nucleotide long non-coding RNA is filed under the name Sus scrofa (pig). Its description in RNAcentral is "lncRNA (ENSSSCG00005034275.1)". The record is from RNAcentral. Lineage: Eukaryota; Metazoa; Chordata; Mammalia; Artiodactyla; Suidae.
AACCCCUUCCACAUGCAGGCCAGAAACGUGCUUAAAGCUGAGAGAGAGGGAGGAAAGCAGAUUUAUGGAGCCUCUGCUGCGUGCUUGGCACCAGGCAGCACCCACAUCCGAGUCUCGCUUUCUCUGGAGUAGCUACUGUGGCCUCGUCCAUCAGCUGCCGUGACCAGGAAACCCCAGCUCCCGGGGUUUCUCGUCCGAGCCCCAGAGCUCUGCAGUGUCCCCGCACACGCUCACUGGGAAACCAGGACUCCCUCUGCCUUCAUCUCCAGCUUCCGCGGAGUCCCCGGAGUCCCCGCCAUCCAGCUGCUGGAGUUGAGAGAGACUCACGGAGGACGCGGUGUCUGCAGGAUGACCCUGGAAGAAAGGGCCUUCCCCGUGUGGGCACCUGCUCCCGUGAGGGGACCCCCAUGUUCAGUGAUCGGCCAUCUGGCUUUGCACGAAGUUAAUGCACUCGUACCCCCAUUUUACAGGUGAAGAAACCAGAAGGCCCCAGACCAGCCACUUCACCCCAGAGCAUGUGGCUGAGGCAGGAGAGGGGCUUGGGCCCAGGCUCUGCUCUUCUGAGGUCCCUGUGGGCCUCUGUGUGAGGGGCCCCAGCCAUCCAGGGAGUUUUGUUCUGACUUUGCAGAAGCCCCCACCGUGAAGAAGGAGGCUGCUUCUCUUUGCAGGAGUGAGAUGGCCCGCUCAGCACUCAUGUCACCCGUGUCACACGGGGCCCAGCAAGGGUUACACCUGGAGCAGGGAAGCAAAGACCUUCCCAGAACUCGUGUCCUGUGGUGCGAACUCCCGGCCCUCCUCUGCUGAGCAGGCUCGCUGCUGGUGCUCCGAACACCUCACCAGCAUCAAAAGUUCGCUUCCCACAAUGGACUCAUCUUUUAAAAAAUUUAAAGACCACAGCCUCAUUUGUUUUUCCUUUUUAAAUGUUACGGGGAAAGAUGAUUUAUUUCAUGGGUCUUAGAUAUGAAUGAUGGAGAGAGUGGUUUCAAUUUCAUUAUUGCAGUUGUCAUAUUUCAGAACUUCCUAAAUAUAGCUUUAUUUAAAAAAAAAAAAAAGCCUGCAGCCUUACAUCAAGAUAAAAAGGUUUCUGUCAAAAUCAAAUGACAUGUCAAUUUUAAUGAGCAACUGAAAAAUUAACAAAUGUAACGCUCUAAUCUAAUUAUGUUCUUCCGGAAAGCUCUUUGAAAAUUGACUCAAGUGUGAUUGUCAAGUGCUGUGCCCCCAGAGCAGCAGCGACAGCGAGCAGGAGACCAGGGAGGGGCUCCUGGAGGCUUGGAGGGGCUCCUUGCCCAUCGUGGCACUUCCCAGGCUUUGGGAUUGAUGGCCAACAUUCUCAGACUUUUCAUAAACCACAGCCCACAGGCGAGGGAACUGAGGGUGCAGCCCUCUGCGUCUUCACAGGGGCCGCAGCCACGGAGCCGCACUCCAGACGCCCUCCCGCCACUUUGAUAAGAACUGCUUGUGAAAGCAUGGGGUCUGUGUCCCCACCCGCACAUGGAUUGUGUACCUGGUAUCCCAGACACGGCACGCAGUGAACCUCUGCAACCUGGUAAGUGUUGGUGUAAGUGCACCGGCCUCCCAAUCCAGGUAAUAAACACAUCUGUCACCAAAAUCGUCUGUGCCCCUGUGCUGUGCUUUUUUCUUGUUCGUGGUAGGAGCAUGUAGUGGGAGCUCUAUCUGCUUCGCAGCUUUUGAAGCACCUGCUGCCUUAUCAUUAACUACGUGCAGCUGGGCUACAGAGCCGCUUCAGGAACCCUCUCCGCUUAGGUACUCGAAACGUGUCCUCUGUUCCAACCCCCACCCUGUACCCCUGUGCACCUGUAGCCCCGACCCACCUCUGACUGCUGUGGGGGCCUCAUGGGAGAGGGGUUGGGCUUUUCAAGCAGGGAUCUGGGCUGACCUUCCCAGAGGACAAGCAGAAUGUGUCACCCGCGAGGGACGAGAGCCGGUGGCAUCUGCACGUCUCCUCUCCUGUCCUCCUGUCCCCUGUCCCUCAUGCUCUGUAUGUUUCUGUGACAGAAUAGAGGAAGUGUCCUGCCCAGUGUCUCCAGUGAGUGGGAGCCUCUGCCCUUCCUGAGGCAUUCUGUCCCCUUACUGGUCACCUGAGCACCACGCAUCCCAUCGUAGCCACAGGACGAGGCAGAAGAGCAGCCCUUAAGCAGAGCUGGCCCCCUGGCCUCGGCUUGCUUUUGCCCUUGUGUCCUGGCCCCCCUGGCCCUUUGGGUGUGGAGAGAGGGGCAUCUGACUUGGUGCGUCAUGCAUGUCGGACCAUCUUUGGGGCGUUAUUCUGGGCUCUAGAGAUAGGAGGAGAGGCUGGAGUGGUCCCUUGGCUUAAGGGUUAUACGGAUUGGCAGGGGAGCGAGCGGGGCAUGUCCAGAAAAGGGGAGGGCAGGAGAUGCUACACAGCCAACGUGGGAGAGAGGAGAAGACCAGAACGCCAGGAGUGGAGGGAUGGAAGACAGGGUAUUUAGACCAUCUAGAAAUUACCUAAAAACAAAGCCAGAAGCAUCAUCAGGGCAUAGGGAGGAGGCCAGUGCAAGUCUGCUCGUCCUUGUCUCCCGGGUCUUAGGGAGGGAAGCCGUAUGGAGCGUGCCUUUUGUUGUGUUGUGUUUAGUUCUACAAGCAUGUGGCUUUGGCGCUUGGUUGUUAAAGAUUCGGCGUGGCCCACAUACUGGACGUGCUAGUGCCGGGCGUCAGACUUCCAGCAGGGCCCACGUCGCACAUUGUGCUCCUAACGGAGACUUCGUCCUGCCGGCUUUGGCGCUCACAGCCUGGGAAGGAGUGGCCCUCUUCUGGGUGAGACCUUGAUGUUUGGUGCCUGAGACCCAGAGCCACGCUUGUCACCUUCUCUUGACACCCUUUCUGAUUGCAUGAACGUCGGAAUUCUGGAGAUGUGGGAUAUCAGGAAGAUAAAUUUACGUAGACAUGUACCGUGAUUCUCGUUCCUCGUGUGUUUCCCGUCGCAUCAUUUACAUGUGCUUUAAAUAUCCAAUGAACCGUAAUAAAUGAGAACUCGCAGUAAAAGUGGUAAUAAAAUGGAUUAUUCAGGUAAUGCUGCUUUAUUGCAGUCUCAUUAUGAUUAUAUAAUCCUUAUUAAAAUCUGGAUCAAAGAUGAAUUUCUCGCUGGAGGCGCCUCACAAGUACUUUAAUAAAUUCUAUUUAUUGCACAAUCCCAAGGUGGAUAUUGGUUUUUAUAAUUUCAUACAAAUGUGUUGUCAUAUGACAUGGAAUCCAUCUACAGAAAAUCUGUCACGUGAUUCCUGAGAAUUUGGAAACUUCUUUUGGAACUUCCUGUUCCUACUCUAGAUCCUUUAAUUAGAAGAAACGUUGCCAGGAUGGGACAUGCUCAUAGCAUGGUGUUUCAUCCUUAGCUGUCGGGCCCCUUUUCUUAGAAUCUCUUCCUGAUCCUAUCUGGGCUCUCCUGGGGUUGAUGGAGGCCGCCCAGGGCAGGUGGGGUCUGGCUGCGCGGACGCUGUUGGACUGGCAGAGGGACCCAAGGAUUUACUCACUGGAGCCAUACAGCUGGGAACCGGCAAAGCCACCCCAACCCUGGCACCUCCAGGUGAACCGGCCCAGAUCCUGAGCAAAGGCAGCAAGAACGAUCCAGGGAAAGGAGCAGAGCCCUCAGAGCGCGCAGGGCUGGGGAGAGGCCCCACUGGGCGUGUGGAACAUGCAGCCUAGCCGGGCUGCUCGGUGCAGGAGGCAGGCCCAGGGGCGAGGCCCUGCUGGAGCUGUGGAGGGCUGCUUUCUGCCUGACCCCACAGGCAGAGACAGCAUCACAAGCGUCUUCCAGCCUUUUCCGUGUUGGAUCCACAGAGGGGGUGCCGCGUACGCGUUUGAAAGAUGACAUCUGUGUCAUCAGGACGUUAAUAUUCACUCUUAGAGUUCACGUCUGGGGUCAAGCGAGAGGUCGGCUGAAGGGUUUUUGUCACUGGAAUCACUGCCCACAGCUGCUCUCAGAGGAGGGAGACCCUGGGCCCAGCCUGCUGUGUCCGAGGCCCAGCUCCAGACCUCCCCAGCUACGCGGCCUGCUCUUGCUCAGCUUCCCCAUCUGUAAAAUGGGUGUAGCCAAAAAGGACCUACGGCAGUGUCGUCACAGAGACUUCAUGAAGGAACAGGACUGCCAGAGGGCCUGGCACAUAAUGAUGUGUGUUGUAAAAAUGUUUCCUAAAUUUAUUUCAGUGAAUAGAUGUUUCUGGACGGGGAUCAUAGGCCUUUGGGGUGGGCUGUGGAGGGCAGGGGUCCAUCUCAUCCUCAAGAAGACGAGACCCUCCUGGUUCUCCCAGAAGGCCUGUGGGUCCCGAGGGCGGACAGUGGCGGCGUCCUGGGGACGGAGGGGUCUGAGAUGAGGUGGGGAUUUGAGCCUUGCUCCGCGUGCAAAGCCCGGGUCACGCUGCCCAGGCGCAGACUGGAGAGGGAUGUGGACACGUGUUUCCGCCAGCGUCAGUCAGGCGGGGAAGCCCAGUCUGGGAGGCCGGAUGCUGGUACAGCUGCUUCUUGGUAAAGCGAGGGUCAUCCAGGACUUUAAAGUUUGUUCUUAUCGUCUGCGCUGCUCCAGUGCGGCGGCUUGGGGAGAUUUGGGCCCCUGGCUGGGGAUUUGCAGCUGGAAGAGUCAUCAGGCGGCCUCCCCGAAGUGACGCCUGCGGCUGGCCUUGCAACUUUCUGCCACCCUAGGCAGAGAUGCUGAUAAAAACAGCGCCAGCAAAACCCAAACAAGCCCCUGGGCUCCACUUCCAUGACUUUGGAAAAUGCCCGAGCCCGCUCUGACCACUCAGGGAGCAGAGACCCCAGGUGGUGCCACAGGGGCCGAUUAUGUAAGCCCCCAGGUGGGGGGUGGGCUUCCUCCUGCAUCCCCCACCUCCAGGCGGGAUGGCGCCCCAAUGAAAUCUCUGUUCUCACCAGGUGUCCACACCUAAGGGCAGUGCACACACAGUGUGGCGGUAGGCCCUGCGCUCGGCAAGAUAUCAAAACGGGGGCCAGAUACUAACACGGGCCUUCAGCUCAGACCUCCCACCCUCACGUCUGAUGCAGCUCAUCUGGCGAAAGCCUGCAGAUCCAGAUCAACAGGAAGAAGACCACUCCGCAGAAGUGGAACGGAAGUGGGCAGGAGACAUGAGUGGGAAACACGGAAGAGGUCGAGACGCUUCGCGCGUCUCACAGUCGCUU